GGGCUCGUAGCUCAGUGGUAGAGCGGUCGGCUCAUAACCGAUUGGUCGUAGGUUCGAACCCUGCCGAGCCCACCA
This 75-nucleotide transfer RNA is filed under the name Chloroflexota bacterium. RNAcentral's name for it is "tRNA-Ile". It matches the Rfam family "tRNA". Rfam says of the family: Transfer RNA (tRNA) molecules are approximately 80 nucleotides in length. Their secondary structure includes four short double-helical elements and three loops (D, anti-codon, and T loops). RNAcentral also lists the same sequence under 2 other names. Lineage: Bacteria; Bacillati; Chloroflexota. The record is from RNAcentral.